UCCUGUCCUGCAUGACAAACUGGGAUCAUGUAAACAGCACAUUUAGCCAUUAAGUUGAUUUGCACUCUAAUUUUCCUACUUAUACUAUUUAACUCUGUCUAACGUCAUACAAUUUUAUUAAGCAGGGGGUGCACUGGCAGUUAAUUAAUGGGUAACUAGACACAUGGGCAGUCUCAUUAUGAAGCAUAAAAUCGUCUAGCGUUGGACAGUAAAAUACUCAAGUAGAGCAUACAUCAGGGCACAGUACAACCUAAUGGUUAAAUUUUUUUUUGUAGCAAAAUGGUUUAAGUUUUAUAUCUGAAUUUUUUUUUGCUUUGUUUUACAGAUCAUUACUUGAACGUGCUGAUGAAAUAUUGAUUUAUAAAAUAUCAUGUUACCAAGAUGACAUGCCUCGAAGAGCAAUACAUGAGGGAAUACCUCUAUUUCUAAUCAAAUUACAACAAUACACCAAAGACAGUAGUUCUCGGAUGAAAUGAAAGGAUUGAUAAAUGUUCAUGGCCAACAGUGGAUAUUUGUGACUAUAAUAAAUGGAUACAAAGAAACUAUGAUGGAUAAAUAUGGCCCCGUAAUGGAUAUUCAGUCGAUGGACAUACAAAGGUCACAGAAAUGUCUAUUUUCAGGUACUGUUCUUUCUUGUUUGCCUGCGAACAGGCUGUAGAUACUUGUAUUCAGGCCAUUGUUUGUUUUUUUUUGUUCUGGGUACAAUGAAAUCCGGCAUAAAUCCUGGCGGUCUAAAUGUUCAGUACAUUUACAAAUUCGAUCUAUUUUCUGUUCAGUAGACUUUGAUAGCUUGAAAGAAAGUUUAUAACGAUGAUUUUCUCUGCAAAAACUGUACUUUCGAAAUUCGUCAGCUUCUGAAUUUGAUAACCGAUCUGGAAGAAAAAAGGAACAUUUGAGUGUAUGGUUAUUGCAUGGUUCUAUAUAUAUUCUAUAUAUACUGCCUUUGUGCACACGCAUAACAAGUGCAGCAACGCAACAGUUUAGACAGGGUCAUGAGGCAGGAUGUGUACAAGAAAAGCUUUGCCAGAGUUUUGUCUUUCGAAAUAGAACAACGAUUGGAAAUUGCUGUUUGAUUCUUUGUAAUAUCUUGUCGCUUGUUAGUGAAAAAGAAAUUUGUCACUUUCCUCAUCUAAGGCCCUGUUUACAUGAGACCGGAACGAAGUCAAACCGGGACCAUUUCGUUUCGGUCACAGUAUUAUUUAUAAUAGAUGUUUACAUGAGACCGGGACGAAAAUAACUCAGACCGGUCUCAAGUCAUUCCGCCUGCUGAACCGAACCGACUGACUUCAGACCGGCAUGAAUUCAGACGGGGAUGAAUGUAAACAGAAAUACAUUUCAGACCGGUCUCGGCUGUAACCUUGACAUUGGAACAACACAUGCUAACAUAAGCCAUCUGAAAAAGAAAAUUGCCCUGGCAAGGGGAAUAACUUGAAAAUUUUGUGAUUUUCGUACCGGUCUCAUGUAAAGAUAUUGUCAAUUUCAAUUUUCGUCCCGGUCUCAUGUAAACGGGGCCUAAACCUUUUUUGUCAAAAAACUGGCAUCGUUUGUCUUGGGGUUAGGGGGUACAAAUGGUACCCAUAGCUUAGAGGGUGCAAAUGGUACCCGUAAGAAGACUUGGUGGAAAUCAUGUUGGUCGUUUGGAUCGGCGAGAAUAAGACAAUUAUGGUGGCAAAGUUUUUUUAAACAUUUUCUCUCCCGUAGUAAGGUAAAGCAUGUAUUUUCCUGGUAGCCGGUCUUACUUCAUGAAAAAAUAGUCCGCUACCAGUGACUAGGUCCCCUCUCUUAUGGCGGUUAUUCCGGCUCAAUAUCUUCGGGGAUAUUCCUUUUCAGGGCGGUUGCAUGCGGAUAAUAUGGUCCGCCGCGUGCGCAAAAUAGUUAGGGAGUUAGACAGUUUAGAAGCGUCCAAACUGCGCAAUAUACGACACUCACAUGAAACGUAAAAUACUUUAUAAUAAUUCACAAAAUUGCGAAAACAAAA
Molecule: long non-coding RNA, 1978 nt
Filed under: Paramuricea clavata
Lineage: Eukaryota; Metazoa; Cnidaria; Anthozoa; Malacalcyonacea; Plexauridae
Source: RNAcentral